AUGAGCCUUAAGAAAAUGGCUGUCCCCGCGCUCCUCAACUACGCCUACCUCAGCGGCCUCCUCUCCCGCUGCGGCCGCGCCGCCGACCACCGCCUGGGCGCCGCCCUCCACGCCACCGUCGUCAAGAAUCCCGCCCACUUCCUCCUAUGCCCACUGCACCCCUCCCUCCGCCACGUCCUCGUCGCCUGGAACGCGCUCGUCUCCAUGUACGCCAGGUGCGGCCGCCACGACGACGCCACCAAGGUGUUCGACGAAAUGCGCGUCCGGGACUCCGUCUCCUGGAACUCGCUCAUCGCCUCCGCCGCCGCCUCCUCCUCCGGCGCCGACGACGUGCUCGCGCAGUUCAGACGGAUGCUGCGCUCGGGCCUCUCGUGCGACCACGCCACCUUCACCACAGUCCUGUCUGUGUGCGCGCGUGCAGUGUCCCUCCCCGCGUCUGCCAUGGUGCACGGGCUGGUCGUCUCGCGUGGGUUUGAGGGCGAGGUGUCUGUCGGGAACGCACUGGUGACCGCCUACUUCGAGUGCGGGUCUCCGGGCUCGGCCAAGAGGGCGUUCCAGGGAAUGGCAGAGAGGAACGUCAUUACAUGGACGGCGAUGAUCUCCGGGAUGGCUCGAGCAGAGCUCUACGAGGACAGCAUCGUGUUGUUUCGACAGAUGAGGCGCACGGUGGACGCCAACAAUGCGACAUACUCGAGCUCCCUGUUAGCCUGCGCUGGAUCUCUGGCAGCCAAGGAAGGCAAGCAGAUUCAUGGCCUUAUUGUGAAGGCUGGACUCGCGACCGACCUCCAUGUAGAGAGUGGGCUCAUGGAUGUUUACUCUAAAUGCGGAUUAAUGGAGGAUGCUCUGAGUGUGUUCCGCGCAUGUCGGCAGCCUGACGAAGUUUUCUUGACAGUCAUUCUGGUCGGAUUUGCUCAAAAUGGGCUGGAAGAGAAGGCGUUCGAAUUGUUCACUGAGAUGGCGGGUGAAGGAAUUUGCAUUGAUACAAACAUGGUUUCUGCAGUUCUGGGGGCAUUUGGUGCCUCCGCGCCAAUUGCUCUUGGGAAGCAAAUCCAUGCACUGGUCAUCAAGAAGUGCUUCGGAAGGAACAUAUAUGUCUGCAAUGGUCUGAUCAAUAUGUAUUCAAAGUGCGGUGAGCUGCAAGAGUCUGUCCAGGUCUUUGAUGAGACGCCCAGUAAAAACUCGAUCUCAUGGAACUCCAUCAUCGCAGCCUUCGCGCGACAUGGUCAAGGUUCUGAAGUCUUUCAACUGUUUGAAUCCAUGAAAGCCAGCGGUGCCAAUCCCACAGAUGUCACCUUCUUAUCACUACUACAUGGCUGUAGCCAUGUUGGAUCAGCAAAGAAGGGGCUGGAGAUCUUGAAUUCCAUGUCAUCGCAGUACGGAGUGCUCCCAAGGGUAGAACAUUAUGCAUGUGUGGUCGACAUGCUUGGCCGAGCUGGUCAGUUAGACGAUGCAAAGUCAUUCAUCGAGGACGGACCUUUCAAGGACAGUGCUAUCCUUUGGCAGGCCUUAAUGGGAGCUUGUAGCUUCCAUCGGAACUUGGAGAUCGGGAAAUACGCGGCUGAGAAGUUGCUCCUUGUGGACCCCGAGUCCCCUGCUUCUUACGUCUUGCUAUCAAACAUCUACUCAGCGGAAGGCCGAUGGGAUGAUCGAGCCAAGGUUAUGAAGAAGAUGAGGGAGAUGGGUCUGAGGAAGGAUACCGGCAAGAGCUGGAUCGAGCUCGAGAAGGAGGUCCAUUCUUUCGUCGUCGGGUCACUCACGUCUCGUCCUGACCCUGCUCCUGUUGAUGAUGUGGUGCUGCAGCUGUCUGCAGUUGCUGGUGAUCAUCAGGAUGAUGUGAUGGAAGACAAUGCUCUGUGA
This 1857-nucleotide ribosomal RNA is filed under the name Triticum aestivum (bread wheat). RNAcentral's name for it is "partial small subunit ribosomal RNA". Lineage: Eukaryota; Viridiplantae; Streptophyta; Magnoliopsida; Poales; Poaceae. The record is from RNAcentral.